This 272-nucleotide ribosomal RNA is filed under the name uncultured Staphylococcus sp. RNAcentral describes it as "partial 16S ribosomal RNA". It matches the Rfam family "Bacterial small subunit ribosomal RNA", at positions 90 to 354 of the family's 1533-position model. The record is from RNAcentral. Lineage: Bacteria; Bacillati; Bacillota; Bacilli; Caryophanales; Staphylococcaceae.
CGUUAGCGGCGGACGGGUGAGUAACACGUGGGUGACCUACCUAUAAGACUGGGAUAACUCCGGGAAACCGGGGCUAAUACCGGAUAACACAUGAAACCGCAUGGUUUCAUGAUGAAAGACGGUUUUGCUGUCACUUAUAGAUGGACCCGCGGCGUAUUAGCUAGUUGGUAAGGUAACGGCUUACCAAGGCAACGAUACGUAGCCGACCUGAGAGGGUGAUCGGCCACACUGGAACUGAGACACGGUCCAGACUCCUACGGGAGGCAGCAGAC